UCGAGAAUCUUCGGCAAUGGGGGAAACCCUGACCGAGCGACGCCGCGUGCGCGAUGAAGGCCUUCGGGUUGUAAAUCGCUGUCAGAGGGGAGGAAAUGCUAGUGGGUUCUCCCACUAGUUUGACCUAGCCUCAGAGGAAGGACGGGCUAAGUUCGUGCCAGCAGCCGCGGUAAGACGAACCGUCCAAACGUUAUUCGGAAUCACUGGGCUUAAAGGGUGCGUAGGCGGUCCGGGAAGUUGGGUGUGAAAGCCCUCGGCUCAACCGAGGAAUUGCGUCCAAAACUGCCGGGCUGGAGGGAGACAUAGGUGAGCGGAACCUAGGGUGGAGCGGUGAAAUGCGUUGAGAUCCUAGGGAACACCAGUAGCGAAAGCGGCUCACUGGGUCUCUUCUGACGCUGAUGCACGAAAGCCAGGGGAGCGAAGA
RNAcentral lists this ribosomal RNA (424 nucleotides) under uncultured prokaryote. Its description in RNAcentral is "bacterial SSU rRNA". It matches the Rfam family "Bacterial small subunit ribosomal RNA", at positions 355 to 774 of the family's 1533-position model. The record is from RNAcentral.